AACGAACGCUGGCGGCAUGCCUAACACAUGCAAGUCGAACGAGCCCUUCGGGUCUAUUGUCGCACGGGUGCGUCACGCGUGGGAACCUGCCCUUAGGUUCGGAAUAACUCCCCGACAGGGGUGCUAUUACCGGAUAAUGUCUUCGGCCCAAUGAUUUAUCGCAUUUGUUUGGUCCCGCGUUGGAUUAGCUAGUUGGUAGGGUAAAAGCCUACCAAGGCGACGAUCCAUAGCUGGUCUGAGAGGAUGAUCAGCCACACUGGGACUGGGACACGGCCCAGACUCCUACGGGAGGCAGCAGUGGGGAAUAUUGGACAAUGGGCGAAAGCCUGAUCCAGCAAUGCCGCGUGAGUGAUGAAGGCCUUAGGGUUGUAAAGCUCUUUUACCCGGGAUGAUAAUGACAGUACCGGGAGAAUAAGCUCCGGCUAACUCCGUG
Molecule: ribosomal RNA, 433 nt
Filed under: uncultured bacterium
Lineage: Bacteria
Description: partial 16S ribosomal RNA
Rfam family: Bacterial small subunit ribosomal RNA
Source: RNAcentral